Syntrophaceae bacterium CG2_30_49_12 is the source of this 74-nucleotide non-coding RNA. The record is from Rfam. Lineage: Bacteria; Pseudomonadati; Thermodesulfobacteriota; Syntrophia; Syntrophales; Syntrophaceae.
GCCCUCAUCGUCUAGUGGUCUAGGACAUCAGCCUUUCAAGCUGGAGAUCAGGGGUUCGAAUCCCCUUGGGGGCA